UGACCGCGUAUGAAAGUACGUUUCACCUCGGGUGACAGGGAGACAGGUGGUGCAUGGUUGUCGUCAGCUCGUGUCGUGAGAUGUUGGGUUAAGUCCCGCAACGAGCGCAACCCCUACGUUUAGUUGCUAACGCGUGAAGGCGAGCACUCUAGACGAACUGCCGUUGGACAAAACGGAGGAAGGUGGGGAUGACGUCAAAUCAUCAUGCCCCUUAUGUUCUGGGCUACACACGUGCUACAAUGGCCGGUACAGACGGACGCAAAGCCGCGAGGUGGAGCAAAUCCUAAAAAGCCGGUCUCAGUUCGGAUUGCAGGCUGCAAUUCGCCUGCAUGAAGUCGGAAUCGCUAGUAAUCGCAGGUCAGCAUACUGCGGUGAAUACGUUCCCGGGCCUU
RNAcentral lists this ribosomal RNA (392 nucleotides) under uncultured Pelotomaculum sp. RNAcentral describes it as "bacterial SSU rRNA". It matches the Rfam family "Bacterial small subunit ribosomal RNA", at positions 992 to 1382 of the family's 1533-position model. The record is from RNAcentral. Lineage: Bacteria; Bacillati; Bacillota; Clostridia; Eubacteriales; Desulfotomaculaceae.